AUUGUGGGAACCAGCUCGUCAACCCCCGAACGAAAACUGGGAUAUGGAAGGGAUGGAUCGGAGUAAUGUAGGGGCGGCCAAUCUAUGAAUUAUGUACCUACAUACGUACAUGCUCCUGGCUAAGAACUACUACCCCUGGGAACACCGAAGCGAGGUGAUUGCCCCACCCAAAAUGGCCAACUGCAAUUGAAACAAACUUUUAUUGGCAUCGGAACAGAUGCCAAAUGGGUGGUAUGU
Non-coding RNA from Drosophila melanogaster (fruit fly), 237 nucleotides. Lineage: Eukaryota; Metazoa; Arthropoda; Insecta; Diptera; Drosophilidae. The record is from Ensembl.